This 78-nucleotide microRNA precursor is filed under the name Schistosoma mattheei. Its description in RNAcentral is "mir-3492 microRNA precursor family". It matches the Rfam family "mir-3492 microRNA precursor family". Lineage: Eukaryota; Metazoa; Platyhelminthes; Trematoda; Strigeidida; Schistosomatidae. The record is from Rfam by way of RNAcentral.
AGCCUACUUUAUCCAUGCUGAGAUCUCGUCACACACUAGACCACAAGGGCCGAUGAGACUUCCAAGAUAAGUGAAGCG